Elgaria multicarinata webbii is the source of this 384-nucleotide long non-coding RNA. RefSeq lists it as uncharacterized. The record is from RefSeq and is a predicted model, not a curated record. Lineage: Eukaryota; Metazoa; Chordata; Lepidosauria; Squamata; Anguidae. The transcript has 3 exons.
CCUUUACAGAGGACAGCCCUCUAUUUGAAGGGCUGUCCAGUCCAAGUCAGAUUUAAAGAUAAAGAACCAUCAGAAGGAAGACAGCUGAGCCCUAAAGUUGUCCAUCAACCUUUAGCUCCUGGCCAGCAGACUGAGCAGGCAGACAGGUCACAGUCUUCCCCACCAUGAUGAGAAGGAAACAAAUACUUGAUAUUUCAGAAUCAUGUCCUUCACAAAUUUCCUGCCCUACAUAUAUCGGUUUUCCCUGGUGUAUGAACAACUGUGGAGACUCUUUAUGAAGAUCAGGCAGGACGCCAAGGAUCGUCAGCAUUUCUCCCUUGCUCCUGGCUGGGGCUGGCUGAAAGCCCUGGCACACUGGUGGCAUGAAACACAGGCAACAGUUUC